This 64-nucleotide transfer RNA is filed under the name Histeridae sp. BMNH 1274738. RNAcentral describes it as "tRNA-His". Lineage: Eukaryota; Metazoa; Arthropoda; Insecta; Coleoptera; Histeridae. The record is from RNAcentral.
AUCUAAAUAGUUUAUUUAAAAUAAUAAUUUGUGGUGUUAUAGAUGUAUGUUGUUACUUUAGAUU